Molecule: small RNA, 949 nt
Filed under: Pan troglodytes (chimpanzee)
Lineage: Eukaryota; Metazoa; Chordata; Mammalia; Primates; Hominidae
Description: processed transcript
Source: RNAcentral
AGCUUCGAGCCGAGGUGCAGUGAGCUGGUGGGGGGACCGCGAGGCGAGCGCGGAAGCCUGGGCGGCGAGCCGGGUGUGAGCUGCCUGAAAAUGCACUCGGAUGCCGCCGCUGUCAAUUUUCAGCUGAACUCUCAUCUCUCAACACUGGCAAAUAUUCAUAAGAUCUACCACACCCUUAAUAAGCUGAACCUAACAGAAGACAUUGGCCAAGACGAUCACCAAACAGGAAGUCUGCGGUCUUGCAGUUCUUCAGACUGCUUUAAUAAAGUGAUGCCACCAAGGAAAAAGAGAAGACCUGCCUCUGGAGAUGAUUUAUCUGCCAAGAAAAGUAGACAUGAUAGGUCUCACUCAUUCACUUCAACCACAGAGCUGGAGAGAUCUUCCUGUACUUAAUGGUCUGUGCCUGCCCAGAGUAUCAGCCAAGCUGAGGUUUAUUCUCACAUGGGUGAGAAUUCGAUAGAACUGUGAAAAACAAGGCUCUUUAAAUCGCUUCUCUUUCAGAUAAGUGAACUUGUUAAUUUUGGUAACUCCAAGGGCCUGUUAGAUUCGUUUAUUUCAAACAUCUUUAUUGUUUCACCCUGAGUUUAGUAAGUAGUUUUUUCUUCCUUGUUUUAGAAACAACGAACGAACAUCAUUGUCUAGUCUUUUCUACCUUUCUCCAUCUUUCCCCAUUCUGGCUUUGUGGGUCAUACCACUAAUGGGCCGGAAUUUCCACAUGUAUUAAUCCAGGGAAUUUAAGUGAGAUUUUUCUGUUUCUUUCUUGCUGUGACUCAGAGGAAUAAGAAAGACUCUGAAAAUGUAAAAAUAAUGUCAUUGUUUAUAUCUCAAAUGAAUAGAAAAUAUUAUCUGAAAGAAGAUAGUAGUGAUUUAGAAAAUAAUCACCAGCAAUCUUUAGGCCAGUGAUUUUUCAACUUUACAAAGGCAGGCUACUUUGAUACUUUUUUGGUGG